This 27-nucleotide small RNA is filed under the name Bombyx mori (domestic silkworm). RNAcentral describes it as "ovarian small RNA-14470". The record is from RNAcentral. Lineage: Eukaryota; Metazoa; Arthropoda; Insecta; Lepidoptera; Bombycidae.
CGGAUUAGUACUCGCCAAUACGGAUUC